GACGAACGCUGGCGGCGUGCCUAAUACAUGCAAGUAGAACGCUGACUACUUUUAGCUUGCUAGAGUAGAAGGAGUUGCGAACGGGUGAGUAACGCGUAGGUAACCCGCCUUCCAGAGGGGAAUAACGUUUGGAAACGAACGCUAAUACCGCAUAACGUACGGUCCUCACAUGGGGGACUGUACCAAAGAUUUUAUCGCUGGAAGAUGAGCUCGCGGCCGAUUAGGUAGUUGGUGAGAUAACAGCCCACCAAGCCGACGAUCGGUAGCCGAACUGAGAGGUUGAUCGGCCACAUUGGGACUGAGACACGGCCCAG
Molecule: ribosomal RNA, 314 nt
Filed under: uncultured bacterium
Lineage: Bacteria
Description: bacterial SSU rRNA
Rfam family: Bacterial small subunit ribosomal RNA
Source: RNAcentral